Molecule: transfer RNA, 70 nt
Filed under: Rana amurensis
Lineage: Eukaryota; Metazoa; Chordata; Amphibia; Anura; Ranidae
Description: tRNA-Thr
Rfam family: tRNA
About the family: Transfer RNA (tRNA) molecules are approximately 80 nucleotides in length.
Source: RNAcentral
GCCCUGGUAGCUUAAACUAAAGCGCUGGUCUUGUAAGCCAGAGACUGCAGCCUAAGCCCUGCCCAAGGCU